Molecule: ribosomal RNA, 440 nt
Filed under: uncultured bacterium
Lineage: Bacteria
Description: bacterial SSU rRNA
Rfam family: Bacterial small subunit ribosomal RNA
Source: RNAcentral
CCUACGGGAGGCUGCAGUGGGGAAUAUUGGACAAUGGGGGAAACCCUGAUCCAGCAAUGCCGCGUGAAUGAAGAAGGCCUUAGGGUUGUAAAAUUCUUUUGUCCGUGACGAUGAUGACGGUAGCGGACGAAUAAGCCCUGGCUAACUCUGUGCCAGCAGCCGCGGUAAUACAGAGAGGGCAAGCGUUGUCCGGAAUGACUGGGCGUAAAGCGCGCGCAGGCGGUUUUUUAAGUUGGAUGUGAAAUCCCCGGGCUUAACCUGGGAACUGCAUACGAUACUGGGAAACUGGAGGCCGAGAGAGGAAAGCGGAAUGACGAGUGUAGAGGUGAAAUUCGUAGAUAUUCGUCGGAACACCGGAGGCGAAGGCGGCUUUCUGGCUCGGACCUGACGCUGAGGCGCGAAAGCGUGGGGAGCAAACAGGAUUAGAUACCCUUGUAGUC